Molecule: long non-coding RNA, 675 nt
Organism: Cloeon dipterum
Lineage: Eukaryota; Metazoa; Arthropoda; Insecta; Ephemeroptera; Baetidae
Exons: 3
Source: RefSeq, a predicted model, not a curated record
AUUCCAUUCCAAUCCACAAGCGCACAGUGUGAAUUGGCAACAGCGCACGGCCACGGCACUCGCACUACUCGCAGCAGCAGAGUGCGUUUCACGCAUUCUGUAUCCAUCGGACAACAGAAGAGUCGCAAGAAAUCUAAUAAAUUUUUGUGCGCUGCCGGUUCGCGUUCGCACUCAUCGGAUUUUACUGUAAAGUUGGUUCGAUGCAAAUUUAUGGAGUGUCUGCAGUACAUUUUUCCCCUUCGGACAUGUAGAUUUCUCCUAUGAGUUUGAUACGAAAUACUUGCAAGGGAAGUUUCGCGCGUUAAUCUUCCUCGGGAAAGUCUAACAAGAGAAAAUCAGAGUUUGGACAUUACUCGAGAGAAAAACGCAAAAGCUGAAGUUGGUCAAGAUGGAGAUCUACUACUUCGAGAGUACGUGAGCGAAAAGCAUCCUUUUGCAGCGCAAAAUAUAGAAUAUCGCAAGCUAAGUGAUGCGGAGGUCAACAACAUUCAAGUGAAAUUCAAAAUCCAGCAAUUGAGGGAUGUUUUAACCAUGAUGCAACAAUUGAAUAUUCCCAUUUAAAAUUUCUGAAGUUCAUUUUAAACCGUGCUUAUAUAUAGUGGAAAAAAACUAUCAGCUACUGAAAUUUGUAUUUUGAACAUCAUUUGAAAUUACAAAAAAUAAAACUAGCUAUUC